This 305-nucleotide signal recognition particle RNA is filed under the name Brachypodium distachyon (stiff brome). RNAcentral describes it as "SRP RNA Plant_SRP". It matches the Rfam family "Plant signal recognition particle RNA". Lineage: Eukaryota; Viridiplantae; Streptophyta; Magnoliopsida; Poales; Poaceae. The record is from Rfam by way of RNAcentral.
GCUGAGCUCAGUAGCGAGAGCUUGUAACCCGAGUGGGGGCUUUAAGGGUGGUGUGGACGUUGCCGUAGCGCUGCGGGCCUGGUCUGGGUGUGCUACUGAUGGCCCGCCCGUUCCAAGUUGCGUAGUGGGCCGUUGGAGCUUAAGCGAAAGCUAGGCUUCGCGGCCCAUAAUGUUGGCAGGCACAGCGUGAGGCUGGCUUCACAGAGCAGCGACAACUGCCCGCUUCCAACGGUGGAAGGAUAACGGGCCGCUGCACUCCUUGGCCGCUUGGGCCUCGCAGCCUACUCCAGCGAACCACCACUUUU